GCCUUCGUGGUGUAAAGGUAGCACGGUCAGCGCGUAUUCGAGAGGUCCAAGUUCGAGUCCUGGCGGGGGCA
RNAcentral lists this transfer RNA (71 nucleotides) under Stegodyphus mimosarum. It matches the Rfam family "tRNA". Rfam says of the family: Transfer RNA (tRNA) molecules are approximately 80 nucleotides in length. Lineage: Eukaryota; Metazoa; Arthropoda; Arachnida; Araneae; Eresidae. The record is from Rfam by way of RNAcentral.